AUAAAGCAACGUUAAACCGUCGCGCAGCCUCCGAAAACGACGGAGCACCGCGCACUCGGUCUACCAGGAAAACAGAGAGAGACAGGUGAACAACAUAGAGGCGAAGGAGCGAGCGCGAAGAUUAAAGAGACGCGAGUAGACGUAACAAUCGAGGAACGAGGAUCAACGAGAGAGUAAUAGAAGUCGCGUGAAAGUGCGUGUCGUGCCGUGACGUCGGAAGCGUUGACACACGAAGGAUCGAGUCGAGUCGGUGUUUUGCCAUCGACAAGGCAAAUACACACGGCGCAUCGUUCAGCUGACGACGUGGUGUGUCAAAGUCGGAAGAACGAGAAGCGAGCGAGAGGCGGCUAUCGGCGAGACCGGCUGCCAUUGCCACUGGUACUAGUGUUACCAUAGCCACUGCAACCCCGGACACGCGAGAGCGUUGUCAUAACGACAAGCCGUGCGCCGCGCGUCGCUAUGGAGCCCCAGAACCAGGAAAUCGUUGCGAGCGGCUCGCCAGCCGAGGUGCCGAACGAUCCAGGGAAAAUGUUCAUCGGUGGUCUAUCUUGGCAGACCAGUCCAGGAAAAUAUCUCUUGAAUCCCGGGAUGCGAACUCAAGGAAAAUCAACGCGACUAUAACACCGCUGCGGAACUCGCAGUUUCCGCCGAGCGAAGGCUGGAUAAAGGAGCCACUUUAACAUUUGCCAAAGGAUUCGUUCAGGAACGCGAUAUUCUAUGAGACGUCGGCCGUGAAAAAAUACGAGAACGGACGCGUUAAACGCACUACUUCACGUGUAUACACCGAGAAGAGACGAAUUCGUUGCGAAACAGUGACGAGAAAAUGGAUCUAAUCGUAAAACUAAGAGAUAGAAGGGAAAGAGAAGUAUUGUAGCAGAAACGAUACAAGCGAGAUAGAAGUACCAUAGUAUCAGGUUGGG
RNAcentral lists this unclassified non-coding RNA (920 nucleotides) under Bombus terrestris (buff-tailed bumblebee). RNAcentral's name for it is "misc RNA ENSBTSG00005029319.1". Lineage: Eukaryota; Metazoa; Arthropoda; Insecta; Hymenoptera; Apidae. The record is from RNAcentral.